Molecule: ribosomal RNA, 441 nt
Filed under: uncultured bacterium
Lineage: Bacteria
Description: partial 16S ribosomal RNA
Rfam family: Bacterial small subunit ribosomal RNA
Source: RNAcentral
CCUACGGGUGGCAGCAGUGGGGAAUAUUGCACAAUGGGGGAAACCCUGAUGCAGCGACGCCGCGUGAGUGAAGAAGUAUUUCGGUAUGUAAAGCUCUAUCAGCAGGGAAGAAAAAAGACGGUAUCUGACUAAGAAGCCCCGGCUAACUACGCUCCAGCAGCCGCGGUAAUACGUAGGGGGCAAGCGUUAUCCGGAUUUACUGGGCGUAAAGGGAGCGGAGGCGGUAUGGGAAGUCUGAAGUGAAAGCCCAGGGCUUAACCCGGGGACUGCCUGGGAAACUGGUAGACUAGAGUGGUGGAGAGGUAAGUGGAAUUCCUGGUGUAGCGGUGAAAUGCGUAGAGAUUAGGAGGAACACCAGUGGCGAAGGCGGCUUACUGGACAGUAACUGACGUUGAGGCUCGAAAGCGUGGGGAGCAAACAGGAUUAGAUACCCGUGUAGUC